This 3969-nucleotide long non-coding RNA is filed under the name Homo sapiens (human). RNAcentral's name for it is "HSALNT0310885". The record is from RNAcentral. Lineage: Eukaryota; Metazoa; Chordata; Mammalia; Primates; Hominidae.
UGUAUCGACAAGCAGAAUGAUCUCAGCCAAGUUGUAAAACUGUCUUUGAAAAGAAUAGCUGGAUGAAAAACAUUAGCAGCAACUGAAUCAAGAGAAAACGUGACUUCAAACUGAAAGGCACUCUCAUGGUAAAUACAUAGUAAAACCAUGUUCUGCAACUUCAUAUUUUCGUAAUGCUUUAAGCUACCCAAGGAGCCCAUGCAGAUAUGCAAAGCUACUCAUUGAGAAGCUCAGCUUAUCCCUACAUAUGCCAUCACCAGUUUUUCACUUAACGUUUUCUCCUCAACCCCUUUCUAUUUGGCUUCCAUUCUACUACUCACCAACCACCUUCAGUUUGCAAAAUCCUAUGCAGAUCUUACCUUAACUUUUCAGCAUCAUUCAGUAAGGUUAAAAACUUUUCCUUCUAGAUGGUUUUGGUGGCACCAGAGUCUUCUUGUUUUCUUCUUUCUUUUUUAGCUGCACUUUCUCAGUAGUAUUUGCUGGCUCUCCUUCCUUUACUCCAACUCUUACUGUUGUAGUUUCACUGAUCUUGGAUUGAGUUCCUCCCUUUGUUUUCCUAUUUAUACUCUCUGACUAAGGUUCAAAAUUGUCUUUAUCUGUUGUAAAAUCUGUGUUUCAAGACUAGAACUUCUCCUCUAAAUCCCAUCUAUCUGAUGACUGAUAGAUUUCAGACUGAACAUGCUUAGAAUAAAAUGCUUAGCCAUGGCUGUUCCCUGCUCCCUGGCCACAGUUGCCAUACACCUUCAUCCUUCCUCAGUUUUCUCAUGGUAAAUGUUACCAUCAUCCACUCAGUUAAUAAUACCUGAAACCAGGGAAAUGGUCCUGAAAUUAGUCCUUUUUUAAAUAUCACCUUCACAUGUAGCCAAUCAGCAAUUCCUACAAUUUAUAUUCCAGAAUAUAUGUCAAGUCCAUCUACUUUUUCCACCUCCACCGCUGUCACCUAGCUCAAGCCACCAUCAUCCUUCACCUAUUCUAUUGCAGUAGCCUCCUAGAAGGUCUCCUAGCUUCCUUUAUUAGCCCUGUACAAGCCAUUCUCUGCAUGGCAGCAGAAUAAUCUUUUAAAAACUGAAAUCAUACCAAUUACUCCUUACCCAAAAGUAUUGAAGGGUUCCUGUUGCAUGUUGAACAAAAUCUACACUCCUUAUCAUGGCCUAUGGAGUGCUUCAUGUUCCCAACCUUGGCAAUGUUUUUUAACAUGCUACCAGUUCUUUCUGUUUCUUACUAAGUCCAGCUCACAUUGACCUAACACACUAACCUCUUUCCUGUCUCAGGCCCUUUGCCCUUGCUGUUACCUCUCUUAGAACAUCCUUUGUUGCUUUGCAUAGCCCAUUCCUCCUCAUUCUUCAUUUCUCAGCUUAAAUGCCACUUCAUCAGAGACGCCUUUUUCAAAAACUUUACCUAAGUUUUUAUUUGUUUUUCUUUUUUCCUGAGCUGAUAGGAAGACAACUCUGUUAUCUUUAGGAUUUCAGAUGCUUUUAGAAUCAAACCUGGAAAGGAUACAAAAAGCAGAAGCAAAACCAACAUUUGGGAGAAGAACAGAUUAAGACAGUAGCUUAUAUUGAAACAUCACUUCUCAUUUGCUGUUUGGACAAUGGUGAUGGAACUGCUGCUUUAUUGCCCACGGAGAAGCGAAGUGAAGAGUCUAAAGUGGGUCUUGCAGUUACACUGGACAAAAGAAGUUUGAAACUGAGGCUUGGUCCUGAAGAAAACAUAGAGAAGCCUGACAGAUUAUAUAUAUUCACAGCUUUGACUUAAAGGUUGCUGGUUGACCAAUAAGUAAUACAAGAAGAAAUGGUCUUUUCUGGAAUUGUCCUUCUUUCCAGGUAUCAAUGGUGAGCAGAAGAGGAGCAGGGAAUGAUGAAAGACCACACAUUCUCCAAAAGUCACUAAGCACUGUCUGCAGAUGGAACAUUCAUAUUUUCACAUAGUAUAAGUCAUAUGAUCUUUGAUCCUCCAUGUAUUGCUAUCCAGCCAUUUACUUUAGAAUGUCAGCCUUUAUACUGAUAUCACACACAUGUUGUAAAAUGUAGUGAAGAUAAACGGGUGAAGUUAAACUUACAAUGCUUUUGCUGUUAUCCAUAAAAAUGCAAUAGGUAUUGCAUAGAAUUAGUUACAAGCACAAAACUGUGAUACCCUAUAUGCCCCUGUUACAAGAAAGUUGUCAUUUUACAUUAUGGGUAUUUAUUCGAUAUUUUCAUAGUUUAAUUACUAACAAAGCAUUAAUAAUGCCAGAUUGUGCUGACAAACAUUGCAGUCUCUGAAUAGGAGAAAGAAUAUAUUCUUUGCACCAUUAUACAAUGAUUUAGAACUUUAAUAGUGUGCUGGGGAAAAAACAUGUAUCUGUAACCUGAAAUAGUUGUUUUACCUCCCUGAGUACAAAAUAUGUCACACAUUCUCUCCUAAAUGUAUUCUCUAUUUUUACCAGUCAUUUUGUUGCUAAAAUGUAAGAUAUGGGGAUGGGAUGUGGGUGAUUGUCUCCGUCCUUUUGGGCUUCUAUAACUAAAAUACCUUAGACUGGGUAAUUUAUAAACAACAGGAAUUUAUUUCUCACAGUUCUGGGGGCUGGAAAGUCCAAGAUCAAGGCUGUGGUGGGGUUUGGCUGGCGAGGGCUCCAUCCUUCUUGCUAUAUCUUCACAUGGUGGAAGGAGCAAACAAACUCCCCCAGCCCUCUUUUACAAGGGCACUAAUAUUAUUUGUGAGGGCUCCACUCUCAUGACUUAAUCACCUCCCCAAAGACCCUACUUCUUAAUACUAACACAUUGGGGAUUAAUCUUCAACAUAUGAAUUUUGGAGGAACACAAACAUUCAGACCAUAGCAAUGUUUAUUGGGGUGAAUGCUCAUUUAACUUUUCCCAGAACAAUCCCUGUUAAGUCUGCUAACCUCCUGUAGUUAAUGAUAAAAUUUCCUUCAUUUUCCGAAGUGUUCUUGUUUGGAUUAUAAAUUAUGUAAUUACCCUAAUGACAAUUAACUAGACAUUUUUUUUCUUACUGUAUAGCACCAGUAUGGGCAAUUGCAGUGGCUUUCAAACUUGACUACAACUCAGGGAGAAAUACAUUUUUCAUCAUAACGUAGUACACACACACACACACACACACACACACACACACGCACACACACACACACAUACACUAGAUAAAGCAAAAGCUUUAGGAAAUGGUACUUGGAUAUUUUCAAAUAUAUUUUAGUCUGUUUUUUAAUUAAAAAUCUCUAGUCAUGAUACAUUAAAUUGACUUAUUGACCCACAGCUUGAAAAAACACCAAUAUUUUGGAUGUGUUUUAAGGUCAUAGAACACGCCUUCUGAUUUUUUUCCUUCCCUAGGUAAUCCUAUGCAAGUUGCCAAUCUUCUCUAAACAACACUCUUCUUCAUCUAUAAAGUAAAUAUUAAUACCUACCUGAAGGUGGCAGAGAGAGUUAACUGAGAUAAUUUGGUUAAUGAGCCUGAAAUCUAGUCAACACUUACUAAAGGUAAUUUCUUCUCCUCUCUUCCGCUUCUAAACCAACAGGACACAGCUGAAGUUCACAGGUUUGUAAAAGUGAAAAAAUAUUUUUCUUAACCCCCUGACCUCUAAAGUUUGGUCAGAGUGUUUAGCCACUGAUAAAACAUCUUUAAGCACUGUUACUUCUAUGUUCAACUAAAAGAGUCACUUUUCAGUAAUUUCCGGUCAAGCCCAUCACAAUAGCACUUGCAGCUUCUCAAAAGAAAAGAAAGAAAGAGAGAGAAAGAAAGGAAGAAAGAGAAUUGAAGGAGGAAAGAAGGAAAAAAAUCAUGAUGAAGAUUUUAAAACAUGUCUUAUUGAGGGAUGGGAUGGUGAGGAAGUUGAUUAUAGUGAUGGAUGUGACAGACAGGGCCCGUACUUCUGUUUCUGUUCUCAAACUAACAGUUUUCACACAUAACCGUUUUCACACAUAACACAUUAGUAGAAUUUCUUUUGAAUAUUUGCCUUGGAAAUAAAACAAUAAUAAUAUA